UGAGGAAUAUUGGUCAAUGGGCGAGAGCCUGAACCAGCCAAGUAGCGUGCAGGAUGACGGCCCUAUGGGUUGUAAACUGCUUUUAUAUGGGAAUAAAGUGAGGGACGUGUCCCUUAUUGCAUGUACCAUAUGAAUAAGGACCGGCUAAUUCCGUGCCAGCAGCCGCGGUAAUACGGAAGGUCCAGGCGUUAUCCGGAUUUAUUGGGUUUAAAGGGAGCGUAGGCCGCCAGAUAAGCGUGUUGUGAAAUGUACCGGCUCAACCGGUGAAUUGCAGCGCGAACUGUUUGGCUUGAGUGCACGGUAAGCAGGCGGAAUUCAUGGUGUAGCGGUGAAAUGCUUAGAUAUCAUGAAGAACUCCGAUUGCGAAGGCAGCUUGCUGCAGUGCGACUGACGCUGAUGCUCGAAGGUGCGGGUAUCAAACAGG
RNAcentral lists this ribosomal RNA (424 nucleotides) under Verrucomicrobiota bacterium. RNAcentral's name for it is "Verrucomicrobia bacterium partial 16S ribosomal RNA". It matches the Rfam family "Bacterial small subunit ribosomal RNA", at positions 355 to 776 of the family's 1533-position model. Lineage: Bacteria; Pseudomonadati; Verrucomicrobiota. The record is from RNAcentral.